UAACCUAGCAGUAAGAAGAAAACACAGACAUUUGAAUGCCUCUACACCGAAAUACAUGUUUUUCCUGUCAUUUAUGUAGAAGAACUUUGCAAGAAAAAUCUAGUGUUAUUUCCUUCAUGCCCUGCUGCUUCGAGAUACAAACUAUUUUUAAGAAACUUGGUACUGACGCAAAGAUCUUCUUUUGAAUAUAGUGGAGUAGAAGGACCCUAAGCUCACCUCCUGAACACACCCAAAUCACCAUCUGAAGAACUAUCUGCAGAACAACUGUCAUUGAAAAACACUGAAACCUACGAGAGAAGAUCCUCUACAACUAAAGAUAUAACAACUAAAGCCUAUCCCCCCAGGUGGGUGACACACAGAUAAGAGAAUAAUUAUAUUACACAGGUUUUCUCAUGGGAGUGAGAUUCUGAGCCCCACAUCAGUCCUUCCAGUCCAGAGGUCUGGCAGUGGGAAAAUAUGACUUUUUCCAUGGUUCUUCUAGUUUCUAUUUCACUUAUUCCUUCUCUGAUUUUAUUAUUUCAUUCCUUCUGUGAACUUUAGGUUGAGUUUGUCCUUGAGGUAUAACAUUGGGCUGCUUAUUUGCGAUCUUUCAUAAUGUAGGCCUUUGUCACUAUUAACUAUUCUCUUAGAACUGUUUGUGCUGCAUCUCAUAAGUUUUGGUGUGUUGUGUUUCCACUUUUAUUUGUCUUGAGAUAUUUUUUGAUAUCCCUUUUGACUUAUUCUUUGACCAAAUGGUUGGUCAGAAGUAUGUUAUUUAACUUCCACAUAUUUAUGAAUUAUACAACUUUCCUUCUAUUAUUGAUUUCUAGUUUCAUUUCAUUGUGGUCAGAAAAGACACUUGAUGUGGACUUCAAGCUUCUUAAAUUUGUUAAGACUUCUCAUGUGAACUAAUGUAAGAUCUAUCCUGGAAAAUGUUCCAUGUGUACGUUGAAAGAAUGUGUAUGCUGUUGCUCUUGGAUGGAAUGUACUGAAUAUGUCUGUUAGAUCCAUCUGACCCAUGGUGUUGUUUAGGUAUGCUGUUUCCUGAUAGAUAUUUUGUCUGAAUGAUCUAUCCAUUGUUAAAACUGGGAUAUUGAAGUCACCUACUAUUAUUGUAUAUGUCUAUUCCUCCCAUUUAGUUUUACUAAUACUUGCUUUAUUUUUAGGUACACUGAAGUACCUAAAUUUUGGUGCAUUAUAUAUUAU
This 1185-nucleotide long non-coding RNA is filed under the name Bos indicus x Bos taurus (hybrid cattle). Its description in RNAcentral is "lncRNA (ENSBIXG00000025172.1)". The record is from RNAcentral. Lineage: Eukaryota; Metazoa; Chordata; Mammalia; Artiodactyla; Bovidae.